UGGGGAAUAUUGGACAAUGGACCAAAAGUCUGAUCCAGCAAUUCUGUGUGCACGAUGACGUUUUUCGGAAUGUAAAGUGCUUUCAGUUGGGAAGAAAAAAAAUGACGGUACCAACAGAAGAAGUGACGGCUAAAUACGUGCCAGCAGCCGCGGUAAUACGUAUGUCACAAGCGUUAUCCGGAUUUAUUGGGCGUAAAGCGCGUCUAGGUGGUUAUGUAAGUCUGAUGUGAAAAUGCAGGGCUCAACUCUGUAUUGCGUUGGAAACUGCAUGACUAGAGUACUGGAGAGGUAAGCGGAACUACAAGUGUAGAGGUGAAAUUCGUAGAUAUUUGUAGGAAUGCCGAUGGGGAAGCCAGCUUACUGGACAGAUACUGACGCUAAAGCGCGAAAGCGUGGGUAGCAAACAGGAUUAGAUACCCUGGUAGUCCAUGCCGUAAACGAUGAUUACUAGGUGUUGGGGGUCGAACCUCAGCGCCCAAGCUAACGCGAUAAGUAAUCCGCCUGGGGAGUACGUACGCAAGUAUG
This 525-nucleotide ribosomal RNA is filed under the name uncultured bacterium. RNAcentral's name for it is "bacterial SSU rRNA". It matches the Rfam family "Bacterial small subunit ribosomal RNA", at positions 355 to 896 of the family's 1533-position model. The record is from RNAcentral.